Molecule: ribosomal RNA, 429 nt
Filed under: Chloroflexota bacterium
Lineage: Bacteria; Bacillati; Chloroflexota
Description: Chloroflexi bacterium partial 16S ribosomal RNA
Rfam family: Bacterial small subunit ribosomal RNA
Source: RNAcentral
UGGGGAAUAUUGCACAAUGGGCGCAAGCCUGAUGCAGCCAUGCCGCGUGUAUGAAGAAGGCCUUCGGGUUGUAAAGUACUUUCAGCGGGGAGGAAGGGAGUAAAGUUAAUACCUUUGCUCAUUGACGUUACCCGCAGAAGAAGCACCGGCUAACUCCGUGCCAGCAGCCGCGGUAAUACUGAGGGUGCAAGCGUUAAUCGGAAUUACUGGGCGUAAAGCGCACGCAGGCGGUUUGUUAAGUCAGAUGUGAAAUCCUCGGGCUCAACCUGGGAACUGCAUCUGAUACUGGCAAGCUUGAGUCUCGUAGAGGGGGGUAGAAUUCCAGGUGUCGCGGUGAAAUGCGUAGAGAUCUGGAGGAAUACCGGUGGCGAAGGCGGCCCCCUGGACGAAGACUGACGCUCAGGUGCGAAAGCGUGGGGAGCAAACAGG